ACACGACUACAUUAGAUACCCCUGUAGUCCUAGCCGUAAACGAUACUCGCUAGGUGUCGGCCACGGUGCGACCGUUGUCGGUGCCGUAGGGAAGCCGUGAAGCGAGCCACCUGGGAAGUACGGCCGCAAGGCUGAAACUUAAAGGAAUUGGCGGGGGAGCACGACAACGGGUGGAGCUUGCGGUUUAAUUGGAUUCAACGCCGGAAAUCUUACCGGGACCGACAACAACAUGAAGGCCAAGCUGAAGACUUUGCCGGAUUAGCUG
This 265-nucleotide ribosomal RNA is filed under the name uncultured archaeon. RNAcentral describes it as "partial 16S ribosomal RNA". It matches the Rfam family "Archaeal small subunit ribosomal RNA", at positions 717 to 982 of the family's 1478-position model. The record is from RNAcentral.